GACGAACGCUGGCGGCGUGCUUAACACAUGCAAGUCGAACGGAAAGGCCCUGCUUUUGUGGGGUGCUCGAGUGGCGAACGGGUGAGUAACACGUGAGUAACCUGCCCUUGACUUUGGGAUAACUUCAGGAAACUGGGGCUAAUACCGGAUAGGAGCUCCUGCGGCAUGGUGGGGGUUGGAAAGUUUCGGCGGUUGGGGAUGGACUCGCGGCUUAUCAGCUUGUUGGUGGGGUAGUGGCUUACCAAGGCUUUGACGGGUAGCCGGCCUGCGAGGGUGACCGGCCACAUUGGGACUGAGAUACGGCCCAGACUCCUACGGGAGGCAGCAGUGGGGAAUAUUGCACAAUGGGCGGAAGCCUGAUGCAGCAACGCCGCGUGCGGGAUGACGGCCUUCGGGUUGUAAACCGCUUUCGCCUGUGACGAAGCGUGAGUGACGGUAAUGGGUAAAGAAGCACCGGCUAACUACGUG
RNAcentral lists this ribosomal RNA (468 nucleotides) under uncultured bacterium. RNAcentral describes it as "partial 16S ribosomal RNA". It matches the Rfam family "Bacterial small subunit ribosomal RNA", at positions 28 to 507 of the family's 1533-position model. The record is from RNAcentral.